CCGUGCAAACGUUAUUCGGAAUCACUGGGCUUAAAGGGCGCGUAGGCGGGCUCGCCAGUCAGGGGUGAAAGCCCACGGCUCAACCGUGGAAGUGCCUUUGAUACUGCGAGUCUCGAGGGAGGUAGGGGCGUGCGGAACUUCCGGUGGAGCGGUGAAAUGCGUAGAUAUCGGAAGGAACAUCGGUGGCGAAAGCGGCGCGCUGGACCUCUUCUGACGCUGAGGCGCGAAAGCCAGGGGAGCAAACGGG
This 247-nucleotide ribosomal RNA is filed under the name uncultured bacterium. RNAcentral's name for it is "partial 16S ribosomal RNA". It matches the Rfam family "Bacterial small subunit ribosomal RNA", at positions 530 to 776 of the family's 1533-position model. The record is from RNAcentral.